Molecule: ribosomal RNA, 497 nt
Filed under: uncultured bacterium
Lineage: Bacteria
Description: partial 16S ribosomal RNA
Rfam family: Bacterial small subunit ribosomal RNA
Source: RNAcentral
GAUGAACGCUGGCGGCGUGCCUAAUACAUGCAAGUCGAGCGAACGGACGAGAAGCUUGCUUCUCUGAUGUUAGCGGCGGACGGGUGAGUAACACGUGGACAACCUACCUAUAAGACUGGGAUAACUUCGGGAAACCGUAGCUAAUACCGGAUAAUAUUUUGAACCGCAUGGUUCAAAAGUGAAAGACGGUUUUGCUGUCACUUAUAGAUGGUUCCGCGCUGCAUUAGCUAGUUGGUAAGGUAACGGCUUACCAAGGCAACGAUGCAUAGCCCACCUGAGAGGGGGAUCGCCCACACGGGAGGGGAACCACGGUCCAGACGCCUACGGGAGGCAGCAGAAGGGAAUAUUCCGCAAUGGGGGAAAGCCGGACGGAGCAACGCGGCGUGAGUGAUGAAGGUUUUCGGAUCGUAAAACUCUGUUAUUAGGGAAGAACAUAUGUGUAAGUAACUGUGCACAUCGUGACGGUACCUAAUCAGAAAGCCACGGCUAACUACGUG